GAUCAAUGAUGAAAAUAGCCAAAUCUGAGCAUCAGAAGACCUUUUGGUCUGCUUGGUGCAUGAUCUCUAUAGUUCUGAGA
This 80-nucleotide small nucleolar RNA is filed under the name Sigmodon hispidus (hispid cotton rat). RNAcentral's name for it is "snoU2_19". It matches the Rfam family "Small nucleolar RNA U2-19". Rfam says of the family: U2-19 is a member of the C/D class of snoRNA which contain the C (UGAUGA) and D (CUGA) box motifs. The record is from RNAcentral. RNAcentral also lists the same sequence under 2 other names. Lineage: Eukaryota; Metazoa; Chordata; Mammalia; Rodentia; Cricetidae.